UAGAGUGAGGAAAAAGCAGAAUUUUUUAUAGGAAGAAAACUCAUUUUGUUAAUGGGCAUAUUUAGAUAUAAAAAGCUUUUUUUUUUUUUAACUAUCCAAGACUCUGAGAAAUGUCUGUAAGGAAAGUGUGUCACUAAGUUCUUCUGUCUGUGGAAGUAACAGGGACUUGGAAGAUCUCUGAAUCUGGAAACUCUGAAGAAUCCAGAAACUAGACGACCUAAUAACUGAGGUACUUUAAACUUGGCAAUAAAGAAAUAUUAAGGGGAAUAAAAAGGAGAGGAGAUCUCAGAAAACGUUGGAAGCUAGUCCUGGGUGAAGGACACAUUAAUCAUGAAUUACCUCAAGAGAGAAAACAGCCAAGUUUUUUAAGGUAAACUUUUACUGAAAUUUUCAGGUAAAUUUUUGUUUCAGGCAAAUUUGUGCUAAAUUGUUAUACCAACAACAAAGCAUAUAAAUCAUAAUUAUUUAGCUUUUUCUGUACAAUUGUAUGCAAAGUGAACACAGCCAUAUAAAAAGUACUCAGAUCAAGAUGCAGAACAUUACCAGCAACCCUGAAACCCACUCAUAUCCUUUCCCAGACACCGUCCUUCCAAAAAUAACUACUAUUCUGGUUCUAAGACAUAGAUUAAUAUUUUUCUGUUUCUUAAAGCACAAUGUAUAUACCCUUUUGGCUGGUUUCUUAUUGAUCUCAUUUUUGAAUUCAACCAUGUUAUUGCUUGAAGCAAUAAUUUGUUUGUUCUAAUGAUGUGCAGUAUUUUGUCAUAUGAAUAAAACAAAGAGUAUUUGGUUUGUUUCUCCUUUGAGGUUUUCAUAAAUAAGGAUGUCAUAACAUGAUUAAACAUGUCUUUCUAUUGGGCAUGCACCUAGAACUGCUAUUGUUAGGUCAAAUGGUAGGCAUAUAUUCGACUUGGCAGAUGCUGCCAAAUAGUUUUCCUAAGUGAUGUUUUCCAAUUUACACUCCCAUCAAUAGUGUAUGAGAAUUCCAUCUCUUUCAAAACCUUGCCAACACUUGGUGUUGACUGUCUUUUUCAUUUCAGGCAUUCUGCUGGGAAUAUAUAAAUAUCACAUUGUAAUUUAAUUUGAAUUUAUCUAAUAACUAAUUAAUUCAAGAAUCUUGUCAUGUGUUUAUUUGCUGUACAGACUAGUAUUCUGAGAGUCUGAACAAAUUCAAAUCAUAUCCAUAUGGCUUCUUAGCAUUAGUGCUCAAACUGUCGUUUUGUAGGACUGGGACUUUAGUAGAAGAUCUGAGUCUAUAUGCCAUUGGGAAUAAAAUAAUGAAGCAAAAACAUUCCUCCUACACCCCUCCAAUAUCACCAUGCCUAUCCUCAAUGCUUGCAAAAGUAGAUCAGCUUAGGGUGAGGGAUGAUUGGGUAGGUAUAAAAGAGAUGUCUAAUGGAGCUAAAGAUACAAAAUGUCAUGGCAUGCAUGAUUUUUCCAUUGUGGAACAUAUAUUUAACCUAAAAAAUGUCAAUCAGUCUAACAAACCAAAAAAGGAACAUCGAUCACAUCAUAGUAUAGAGCACCCAUGGUGAAGACUGAGAAUCAGAUGAGGCAGCACACAAGCAUUCCCUGCAUUCUGUGGUCCACAUUGCAGGAAACAAUCCUCCCGUACCACCACCACUCCCCGUCCCCACACACUGUCCAUUAGGUAUCAGCUAACAAAGACUGUGGUAAAGGAAACUCGAAGCCAAUGUAUAAGCAAAUACUCAGGAUUUUCUGAAAAUAGCAAGGGCCUUAAAACAAGAAAACACCAACACCAAAGGUCAGCAAGAGAUAAUAGUAGCAAAAGCCAUACAAAAAAGAAAUAGAAACUAUUAUCAUGGCCACAUUAAUUCUAGUUCCUCCUAAUAUACUGAGCAGGGAGGGUCUAGAAAACUAUAUUAGAGUAGAAUCUCAUAAGACUUAAAAAGGGUCUUAAGCAUGAGAGGAACAGAAUGGCAGAGGGAAAAAAGACUUGAAGGGAUUGUAUUCUUUACACAAAUUAUCUUUGAUCUAAUUUUAAAUAUAGGUAAAUUUCUCAAAUGGCCCAAGUGAAGAUGUUUUUAAGACACAGUAAAUUAAGGAAAGGCAAAAGGGAAGAAAGCCAACUGGGACAGGUAAUUUGGAAAGUGAAGAAGACAGAACUAAUAAGCCAACAUGUAUUGAACAUCUUUUGUGUUCUGAGAUAGGGAGUGAAGCACCCAUCUGAAAGCAAGUGUGUGAACUGUGGGAGAAAAAUCAGCCCAGGAGCAAUGAUUUCACACAUCAGUCCUUGGAGGUAUGUUGUACCCAAUGAGGACACAAUCAUGGUGUCAUGCAAAUGUUGCCACUAUGUACUCUGUCCUUAAUCUUUGUCAAUUCAGUCUUUUCUAAGGAUUCGAAAUAACAGUGUAACUCCCAUUCCUCCAUCCUGUCCCUGG
RNAcentral lists this long non-coding RNA (2399 nucleotides) under Homo sapiens (human). RNAcentral describes it as "HSALNT0329011". Lineage: Eukaryota; Metazoa; Chordata; Mammalia; Primates; Hominidae. The record is from RNAcentral.